GAUCUCUGCAUGCCUGAGGUCUUCUGAAGGAUGUACAGCAUAAUCAAUGCUCAAGGGAAAGCCAAGAGAACAGCUGGAGCCUUGCUCAGUGGGAGAGCUCCAUUCUGUGAAAGCUGCCUUUUCACUGCAUGUUCUGGGAACAACCAUGAACUGAUGAGAUGAAGUCUGUUCAGCCUUCAUUAUAUGGAUGCAGUCACCACUCUUUUGUCAUAGAAGACCAAAUUUUCUUGUAUACGUUUGUCUGAAAUGGUUUCAGCAAUGUGGCUCAAAAGAACACUCCUGGAGUGAGCCAGGUCUCUAAGCCAUAUAAGCCAACAGCACUCACCUUCUCGUGCCUGUCUCUUAUGGAAAUAACUUGGGAGAAGCAGAAUUCACAGAUCCUUGUACCCAAGGCUUUGUAAAUACAAAAUGAAACCUUCUGAUGUAUGAAAUCUAUACAACUGAGUGAUAUACCUUGUAGAAAUAUAUUUCAUAUUUCAGAAAAGAUUUUUCCCUUACCAUGUAUGUCCUUUCCUUUGCCCUUGAACUAAAUCUGUAGAACACAGAGAAAUACCAUAGUGAAUGUUAAAAACACAGCACACAUAAUACAAUUAUUUUCUUAAAGCCUCAGCUGCUACAAUAAUUUCAUUCAGCAAGCAUUAUAGUUUGCAAAAUAAAUUAUUGAGCAUUUUUGUGGGAGAGCCUCAAAAACACAAACUUCAAAGACUUGAAUCCUUUUUUAAAAAAAGUCAAGGUUGACUAAAAAAAAAUAAGCUGCAUUUUGAUUUGACUCCUUUUUUAGGGAAGAAGUUGAUUUCUUUUUUAAAUGCUUGAGACUGGCAGUCCUUAAUUUUUCUCACACUUUAUUGCUGCUUAAUUAUGUCCCUUCUAAAGUAGUAGGAGAGAGAUGAGCUGUAGCAGAGCUCAACCAGUUCCUAUCAACGUGUCUUUUUGUUGGCUCUGCAAAAAAAGCCUUCCAUAUAUUGCCACCAGUGGGUGCUUUACUGAAACAGGGCUGACCCAUAGAGCUGAAACACGUUCUUGCAGCCGCUGGAUGCAAAGGCAUAUAGCUCCACAAUACAGUGCCUCUUACUGGGAUUCUUCCAGUGUGUUUACUGCCAAGAGCAAUAGGAGAUCUCUUUCCUGGUAGACUUUAAUUGAGCCAAGCUUUCUUUGAUUUGAAGUUAGUUUUGCCUCAGCAAUGAGUACAGAACUAGGCCAUACAAAUAGUUCCUGUAUAGAUCAAAAGGCUUUUGUAUGUAGGUAUUAACAGCUAGCAUUACUGAUAUGAAUGAGGAGACGUACUGCGCUUACCAUCUGCGGAUGCUGGAGCGGAUGGAUUAGAUUUGGGUUUUAGGGAAUUGGAAACAACCUGUUUUUUUUUUUUUCCUAUUUUGCUAAUUAUGAAAUGAUUCUUAAAGCAGAUAAGAGUGACUAAUUUGGCCAAUGAAUUUAAUGGGAUGAAAGUCAAGUACAAAAAUGAAGCAAACAGGGAAAGGAUAGAACAAAACAACACAAGGGCUUAGUGUGUAUUUAAUAAUGUGGAAUUUCUGUAGGUACCAGAAUGAAAAUUUUUCCCGUACCCAAUCAGGUCACUUUCUGAUUUUUAAGUGCAAAAUUCAAUUUAGAAUUUGAACACAAUAAAUAUCAAUUGCAGAGAUUGUUGUUGCUGGCUUGUACAUGAUUUCGAAUACUUACAUAUCAUGUAUCAGCAAAUAAAUCUGUG
This is a long non-coding RNA of Phasianus colchicus (ring-necked pheasant), 1705 nucleotides long. RefSeq lists it as uncharacterized. The record is from RefSeq and is a predicted model, not a curated record. Lineage: Eukaryota; Metazoa; Chordata; Aves; Galliformes; Phasianidae.